This 253-nucleotide ribosomal RNA is filed under the name uncultured bacterium. RNAcentral's name for it is "partial 16S ribosomal RNA". It matches the Rfam family "Bacterial small subunit ribosomal RNA", at positions 524 to 776 of the family's 1533-position model. The record is from RNAcentral.
UACGUAGGUGGCAAGCGUUGUCCGGAUUUAUUGGGCCUAAAGCAUCCGUAGCCGGUUCUGCAAGUCCCCCGUUAAAUCCAGCUGCUCAACAGAUGGGCCGCGGAGGAUACUACAGAGCUAGGAGGCAGGAGAGGCAAGCGGUACUCAGUGGGUAGGGGUAAAAUCCGUUGAUCCAUUGAAGACCACCAGUGGCGAAGGCGGCUUGCCAGAAUGCGCUCGACGGUGAGGGAUGAAAGCUGGGGGAGCAAACCGG